UAAGACGUAGGAGGCGAGCGUUAUCCGGAUUCACUGGGCGUAAAGCGCAAGUAGGCGGUUGCACAAGUCAUGUGUUAAAGCCCCUGGCUCAACUGGGGGAGGUCAUGUGAGACUGUGCGACUUGAGGGCAACAGAGGCAUGUGGAACUCCCGGUGUAGCGGUGGAAUGCGUAGAGAUCGGGAAGAACACCCGUGGCGAAGGCGGCAUGCUGGGUUGCGACUGACGCUGAGUUGCGAAAGUGUGGGGAGCAAACGGGAUUAGAUACCCCGGUAGUCCACACUGUAAACGAUGAACCCUAGGUGUGGGAGGAUAAAACCUUCUGUGCCGAAGCUAACGCGUUAAGGGUUCCGCCUGGGGACUAUGAGCGCAAGCUUA
RNAcentral lists this ribosomal RNA (375 nucleotides) under uncultured bacterium. RNAcentral's name for it is "bacterial SSU rRNA". It matches the Rfam family "Bacterial small subunit ribosomal RNA", at positions 521 to 896 of the family's 1533-position model. The record is from RNAcentral.